GCAGCAGCCACGGUAAUGCGUAGGUGGCAAGCGUUGUCCGGAAUUAUUGGGCGUAAAGCGAGCGCAGGCGGUUCCUUAAGUCUGAUGUGAAAGCCCCCGGCUCAACCGGGGAGGGUCAUUGGAAACUGGGGAACUUGAGUGCAGAAGAGGAGAGUGGAAUUCCAUGUGUAGCGGUGAAAUGCGUAGAUAUAUGGAGGAACACCAGUGGCGAAGGCGACUCUCUGGUCUGUAACUGACGCUGAGGAGCGAAAGCGUGGGGAGCGAACAGGAUUAGAUACCCCCGUAGUCCCUGUCUCUUAUAC
RNAcentral lists this ribosomal RNA (302 nucleotides) under uncultured bacterium. RNAcentral describes it as "partial 16S ribosomal RNA". It matches the Rfam family "Bacterial small subunit ribosomal RNA", at positions 508 to 807 of the family's 1533-position model. The record is from RNAcentral.